Molecule: ribosomal RNA, 310 nt
Filed under: uncultured bacterium
Lineage: Bacteria
Description: bacterial SSU rRNA
Rfam family: Bacterial small subunit ribosomal RNA
Source: RNAcentral
AGCGAACGCUGGCGGCAGGCUUAACACAUGCAAGUCGAGCGGGCGUAGCAAUACGUCAGCGGCAGACGGGUGAGUAACGCGUGGGAACAUACCUUUUGGUUCGGAACAACACAGGGAAACUUGUGCUAAUACCGGAUAAGCCCUUACGGGGAAAGAUUUAUCGCCGAAAGAUUGGCCCGCGUCUGAUUAGCUAGUUGGUGAGGUAAUGGCUCACCAAGGCGACGAUCAGUAGCUGGUCUGAGAGGAUGAUCAGCCACAUUGGGACUGAGACACGGCCCAAACUCCUACGGGAGGCAGCAGGUGGGGAAUA